UUUAUGGUCUUCCAAGGUAAUAGUCUGGGUGGUUUUCACUUCUCUUUAUCAAUUUGUUGAUUGAUUGGAGUCAUGCAUCUGGGUUUGCCAAAAUUUCAAUGAAGGGUCAUGGGUUCCUCCUUCCUGUUUUAAAAAAAAAAAAUCUAUUCCUAUUUUUAAGAGAUUAUGUAAAUCUACCCAGUUUAAUUGAACACACACAUUAUAGUCCAAAGUUGCUCAGUUUAAACAUAACUGCAAUCAGUGAAGUUAUAAAAACAGAAGUUCCUAUUUAUUUGUCUGUUUAUUAUUUGGGGAUUGGGGCCAAGUUUGUCAAAGCAUUUCUGUAUUACUAUAAAGAUUUCAACCAAAA
This 349-nucleotide unclassified non-coding RNA is filed under the name Hevea brasiliensis (rubber tree). The record is from RNAcentral. Lineage: Eukaryota; Viridiplantae; Streptophyta; Magnoliopsida; Malpighiales; Euphorbiaceae.